RNAcentral lists this small RNA (87 nucleotides) under Salmonella enterica. Its description in RNAcentral is "partial RtT sRNA". It matches the Rfam family "RtT RNA", at positions 1 to 85 of the family's 130-position model. From Rfam's summary of the family: This family represents a bacterial cis-regulatory element known as RtT RNA. The exact function of RtT is unknown although it is thought that it may be involved in changing the cellular response in relation to amino acid starvation. Lineage: Bacteria; Pseudomonadati; Pseudomonadota; Gammaproteobacteria; Enterobacterales; Enterobacteriaceae. The record is from RNAcentral. RNAcentral also lists the same sequence under 5 other names.
AUAUCUCUCUGUACGGGAAGGAUGAGAAGCUUCGACUAAGGUUCGAUUCGAGCGUCAGCGAGAAAGCGUUGCCGCAGGCAACGACCC